This 497-nucleotide ribosomal RNA is filed under the name uncultured bacterium. RNAcentral describes it as "partial 16S ribosomal RNA". It matches the Rfam family "Bacterial small subunit ribosomal RNA", at positions 28 to 507 of the family's 1533-position model. The record is from RNAcentral.
GAUGAACGCUGGCGGCGUGCCUAAUACAUGCAAGUCGAGCGCACGGACGAGAAGCUUGCUUCUCUGAUGUUAGCGGCGGACGGGUGAGUAACACGUGGAUAACCUACCUAUAAGACUGGGAUAACUUCGGGAAACCGGAGCUAAUACCGGAUAAUAUUUUGAACCGCAUGAUUCAAAAGUGAAAGACGGUCUUGCUGUCACUUAUAGAUGGAUCCGCGCUGCAUUAGCUAGUUGGUAAGGUAACGGCUUACCAAGGCAACGAUGCAUAGCCGACCUGAGAGGAUGAUGCGCCACACCAGAACGGAGACGCGGUCCAGACGCCUGCGAGAGGCAGCAGUAGGGAACCUUCUCAAAUGGGCGAAAGCCUGACAGAGCAACCCAGCGUGAGUGAUGAAGGGCUUCGGAUCGUGUGACUCUGUUAUUAGUGAAGACCAGAUGUGUAAGUAAAUCUUCACAUCUUGACGGUAACUAAUCAGAAAGCCACGGCUAACUACGGG